Long non-coding RNA from Pistacia vera, 2768 nucleotides. RefSeq lists it as uncharacterized. The record is from RefSeq and is a predicted model, not a curated record. NCBI's taxonomy places the organism in Eukaryota, Viridiplantae, Streptophyta, Magnoliopsida, Sapindales, Anacardiaceae. The transcript has 4 exons.
CUUUGAAGGUUAUUUUACAAAUAAUAGCCAUGUUUACUUUUACAUUAGUUUUGGGCAUCUAUUAAAGGUAAAAGUCUAAAAAUUUUAAAUGCUUAUGAGUUUCGAAUUUACUUUCAGCCUCAUAUAUUAUUCUACCUAUCAAGCAGGUUUCUAUAGCCUUGUGUGGUAUGCUAGACUGGAUUGGAUUGGAUGACAUUGAAUUAGAUAUGGUACUUUCUCUUGUAUGUUUUACAUUUCCUUCAAUCUCUGGUUACUUAACAAACUAUUGCAAGGUAUGUUGGAGUUUUUAUUGUUAUUACUAUUUGUACAAACUGGAUGAAUUUGAGCAUGAAAAUUCAGUGUGAUCUUUAUCAUUAAACCAUGUUUCUACUUUCCAAGUUUCUGCUUAUUCGGUGGUAUGUAAGGGAGUUGAUGAAUGCCAUUAGCAUUAAAACAUGUAAGGCUGUUUGCAUUUGCCAACUUCAGUGUUUGCAUAUGCAAACUGCACUAUCUAUUCUUUUCUCAGUAACACCAUUAUCUUGGGCUAAGUGGAGAGUUGUUUUACACCUUUCAUUCCUCUGCAUAUUAUUAAUAUGCUACAUUACAUUAUGUCAAUAUCGACCAAAAGAAAGGAUUUAAAAGAGGACAUCAACCAAUCUUCUAAGGCAUCCAAAAAAGUAUCCAUUACGAGUUCCCACAUGAAUUUUUCACCUGGUGAAGAUGACCAAGAACAAUCUCCUGUUGAUGGAACUAGCAUUCCAAUCCCGAUAGAUAGUCUCCAUUCAAGCCCUCCCUCGUUUUCCCAAGAGGAUACUUGCGUUACUAGAACUGGAAGGUCUAGGUCAAUUAUAUGGCUACAUUCCAAAAAGGCCUUAGUUGAUGGUAAAGAAAAGGCAGUGUGUAACUACUGACACUGACAACUUGUCGGUGGUUCUAAAAAUGAAACAAGGCAUUUGCAUGAUCAUCAUAGAAUUUGUACAAGGCGAAAAAACCAAGAUAUAUCACAAAUGAUGCUUGCGGGUAUGCAAAAACAAGACUCCAAAAAGAUAUUAAGCAAUUAUAGUUUAGAUCAACAAGUGGGGAGAGAUGAUCUUGCAAAUAUGAUUAUUCUUCAUGAGUAUCCGCUAAGCACGGUUGAUGAUAUAGGGUUUAGAAAAUUCUGCAACACUAUUUCAUCUCCUUCAAUGUUGUCUCUAGGAGAACUAUUAGGAGGGACAUUAUGAACGUUUAUGAAGUUCAGAAGGAGAAGUCCAUGAAAAUGUUAAACAAAAACCGGAGUAGAGUUGCCAUCACUAUUGAUUUUUGAACUACUAGCAACCAUAACAAAGGAUAUAUGACCAUCACAACACACUUUAUCAAUGAUAAUUGGGUUUUGCAUAAUCGACUUUUAAGAGAUGCACUUUCUGCAGCGUUGAUGGACUGUUUUUAUGAGCGGAAUAUUAAUACAAAGUUGUCCACAUUGACGGUUGACAAUUGCUCCACCAAUGAUGCGAUUGUGCAGGAUAUCUUAGGAGAGCUUCAACGUUCCACCCUUUUGUUACAUGCGAAUUUUUUCAUAUGCGUUGUUGUGCACAUAUUCUCAAUUUAAUUGUUCAAGAUGGCUUAUCGGUGAUUGGAGAAGUAAUAUCCAAAAUCCGUGAGACUGUUUCCUAUUGGACGACAUCACCUAAACGGGAGCAAAAUUUUGUAGACAUGGCAUGUCAAGCGGGCAUUCCAAGCACAAAGAAGUUAGGUCUUCAUUGUAAGACAAGUUGGAAUUCAACGUACUUGAUGCUUCAAACAACUUUAAAGCAUCAUGAGUCAAAUUUUAGAUGCUUACCAAGUGAUGAAGAAUGAGACUUGGUAGAAAAGAUCAGUGAGAAGCUAGAAAUAUUUUAUGUGAAAGAUUUAAUUCCUUUACCAAGUGAAUAAACCUAAGCGAAAGUGGUUGUUAAGUUGAUUUUAAGAGUUCUUUGGACGUAAACAUAAAACAAUAAAAAUAAACCAAACUAAAACAACACCAGAUUUUUACAUGGUUCGGCAAAAUGCCUACAUCCAUGGGACUAAAUCCAGAAUAAAGUUAAUCCACUAGGUUUACUUUACAGUUCAAUUACAAAGUUAGAGAUUGCCUCAGUUGCAAGAACACCCCUGUUUUGCAACGCUUCAAUUUUUAUUCUUUGGUUAAACAACGUACAAGCAUAGUUAGCUCCAAGAACACCUAACCAACUGGUCAACCUUGAGCUUCUCUCAAGGUAUAAAAACGAAGACGCACUUCGAAUGAAGAAGCUCAUCAAGCUUCAUACAUCAACUAUGAACAAAAUGUAGAGAGCAAGGAUGCAUUCUAGGUACUUGAAUAAAUGUAGUUUUAAGCUUUACCUAAGCAUAGAAACUUGACAAAAACAAAGGAAAAAUUCAGAGAAUUUCAGAGUACUUUUUAGGGACAAUAUUAGGCUUAAAAAACAAGUGCAUUGGAGAAGACUUUACAUAAGUAAAAACCGGCCAAUGUAAGGGACAAGUGGCUAACAAUAACUUUAUGAAUUUCAAUUUUAUUAAAGUUAUAUUCCAUUAUCAAGAUGCCACCUAUCAAAGAGAAUAAAAUUUUCUAGCACAUUGAAUAUCAAUUUGACAAGUGUUAUGGACCACACUAAAGGUGGAAAAUUAACCUGCCUGACCUGACCCGACCCGACCUGGUUCGUGGUGGGUUAAGCCAAAUUACGAGUCGGGCCUAGCCCGGCCCGCCUCUUUGGCCAAAAGGGUUGGCCCAUCCCGACCCGCCAACCCUAGCUCGGCUGGUUUUUGUGUGGGUUGAC